GGGACACGUGGUAUCCUGUCUGAAUAUGGGGGGACCAUCCUCCAAGGCUAAAUACUCCUGACUGACCGAUAGUGAACCAGUACCGUGAGGGAAAGGCGAAAAGAACCCCGGCGAGGGGAGUGAAAAAGAACCUGAAACCGUGUACGUACAAGCAGUGGGAGCACGCUUAGGCGUGUGACUGCGUACCUUUUGUAUAAUGGGUCAGCGACUUAUAUUCUGUAGCAAGGUUAACCGAAUAGGGGAGCCGAAGGGAAACCGAGUCUUAACUGGGCGUUAAGUUGCAGGGUAUAGACCCGAAACCCGGUGAUCUAGCCAUGGGCAGGUUGAAGGUUGGGUAACACUAACUGGAGGACCGAACCGACUAAUGUUGAAAAAUUAGCGGAUGACUUGUGGCUGGGGGUGAAAGGCCAAUCAAACCGGGAGAUAGCUGGUUCUCCCCGAAAGCUAUUUAGGUAGCGCCUCGUGAAUUCAUCUCCGGGGGUAGAGCACUGUUUCGGCAAGGGGGUCAUCCCGACUUACCAACCCGAUGCAAACUGCGAAUACCGGAGAAUGUUAUCACGGGAGACACACGGCGGGUGCUAACGUCCGUCGUGAAGAGGGAAACAACCCAGACCGCCAGCUAAGGUCCCAAAGUCAUGGUUAAGUGGGAAACGAUGUGGGAAGGCCCAGACAGCCAGGAUGUUGGCUUAGAAGCAGCCAUCAUUUAAAGAAAGCGUAAUAGCUCACUGGUCGAGUCGGCCUGCGCGGAAGAUGUAACGGGGCUAAACCAUGCACCGAAGCUGCGGCAGCGACGCUGAUGCGUUGUUGGGUAGGGGAGCGUUCUGUAAGCCUGCGAAGGUGUGCUGUGAGGCAUGCUGGAGGUAUCAGAAGUGCGAAUGCUGACAUAAGUAACGAUAAAGCGGGUGAAAAGCCCGCUCGCCGGAAGACCAAGGGUUCCUGUCCAACGUUAAUCGGGGCAGGGUGAGUCGACCCCUAAGGCGAGGCCGAAAGGCGUAGUCGAUGGGAAACAGGUUAAUAUUCCUGUACUUGGUGUUACUGCGAAGGGGGGACGGAGAAGGCUAUGUUGGCCGGGCGACGGUUGUCCCGGUUUAAGCGUGUAGGCUGGUUUUCCAGGCAAAUCCGGAAAAUCAAGGCUGAGGCGUGAUGACGAGGCACUACGGUGCUGAAGCAACAAAUGCCCUGCUUCCAGGAAAAGCCUCUAAGCAUCAGGUAACAUCAAAUCGUACCCCAAACCGACACAGGUGGUCAGGUAGAGAAUACCAAGGCGCUUGAGAGAACUCGGGUGAAGGAACUAGGCAAAAUGGUGCCGUAACUUCGGGAGAAGGCACGCUGAUAUGUAGGUGAAGUCCCUCGCGGAUGGAGCUGAAAUCAGUCGAAGAUACCAGCUGGCUGCAACUGUUUAUUAAAAACACAGCACUGUGCAAACACGAAAGUGGACGUAUACGGUGUGACGCCUGCCCGGUGCCGGAAGGUUAAUUGAUGGGGUCAGCGCAAGCGAAGCUCUUGAUCGAAGCCCCGGUAAACGGCGGCCGUAACUAUAACGGUCCUAAGGUAGCGAAAUUCCUUGUCGGGUAAGUUCCGACCUGCACGAAUGGCGUAAUGAUGGCCAGGCUGUCUCCACCCGAGACUCAGUGAAAUUGAACUCGCUGUGAAGAUGCAGUGUACCCGCGGCAAGACGGAAAGACCCCGUGAACCUUUACUAUAGCUUGACACUGAACAUUGAGCCUUGAUGUGUAGGAUAGGUGGGAGGCUUUGAAGUGUGGACGCCAGUCUGCAUGGAGCCGACCUUGAAAUACCACCCUUUAAUGUUUGAUGUUCUAACGUGGACCCGUGAUCCGGGUUGCGGACAGUGUCUGGUGGGUAGUUUGACUGGGGCGGUCUCCUCCUAAAGAGUAACGGAGGAGCACGAAGGUUGGCUAAUCCUGGUCGGACAUCAGGAGGUUAGUGCAAUGGCAUAAGCCAGCUUGACUGCGAGCGUGACGGCGCGAGCAGGUGCGAAAGCAGGUCAUAGUGAUCCGGUGGUUCUGAAUGGAAGGGCCAUCGCUCAACGGAUAAAAGGUACUCCGGGGAUAACAGGCUGAUACCGCCCAAGAGUUCAUAUCGACGGCGGUGUUUGGCACCUCGAUGUCGGCUCAUCACAUCCUGGGGCUGAAGUAGGUCCCAAGGGUAUGGCUGUUCGCCAUUUAAAGUGGUACGCGAGCUGGGUUUAGAACGUCGUGAGACAGUUCGGUCCCUAUCUGCCGUGGGCGCUGGAGAACUGAGGGGGGCUGCUCCUAGUACGAGAGGACCGGAGUGGACGCAUCACUGGUGUUCGGGUUGUCAUGCCAAUGGCACUGCCCGGUAGCUAAAUGCGGAAGAGAUAAGUGCUGA
RNAcentral lists this ribosomal RNA (2370 nucleotides) under Escherichia coli O145:H25. RNAcentral's name for it is "partial 23S ribosomal RNA". It matches the Rfam family "Bacterial large subunit ribosomal RNA", at positions 419 to 2774 of the family's 2925-position model. The record is from RNAcentral. Lineage: Bacteria; Pseudomonadati; Pseudomonadota; Gammaproteobacteria; Enterobacterales; Enterobacteriaceae.